GCAAAGGGCGUCCCUCGAGUUAUGAGUAUAAAAGAGACCUCAUAGGACUGACAAGCACAGACAGAUUUCCCUUAGCAUAACAAGGGUAGCUGCUUUCAACAUGGCCUGCCUCAAACUCUUGGUUGCUGUCUUAGCGACUUUGGCUUUGCUGACUAUGGUGUCCGUCAAAGCCGCCCCACACCAUUCACUAUCUGAAUACGGCUACGAUUAUGGGCACUACUACCCAUACGGUGGUGCUUACUAUCCAUACUACCAAUAUGCCCCUUAUUCAGGCUAUUACUAUUACCCCUACGGUUACUCAUCCUACAGUUACGUCCAGUCGCAUCAGACCACGAAUGCUGGGAAAAAGUAGGCAGGCAAUAUCGUCAACAUUUUGGUGUACUCCGGAAAGUCGACGACAUCAGAUUGCCUUACGAAUUUUUCUCUUUUUAUCUAUGUUCCGUACCAUGUUCACCCAAAGACAUAUGAUAAUGAUUCAUGACGUUGUCAAACAAAUUCAUUCGAUAACUUUUAAAGAGUACCUACCACGUUCACAAAUAGCAAAAGUAGUCGUUACUAUUCGUAUACACAAAUUAUACUUUAAAAUUAUGUAAUUAAUGUUUAGUAAAUAGUUUCUCUCGUUAUUUCAUUAAAAUCAAAUAUUUUUACAAUGAAAAAGUUUUUAGGAAUUGGCCUACUCUCAAAACAAAGAUAAUUCUUGACUAUGUGUAACAAAUACAAUAAAGUUUUUAACAAUG
Long non-coding RNA from Macrobrachium nipponense, 737 nucleotides. RefSeq lists it as uncharacterized. NCBI's taxonomy places the organism in Eukaryota, Metazoa, Arthropoda, Malacostraca, Decapoda, Palaemonidae. The record is from RefSeq and is a predicted model, not a curated record. The transcript is spliced from 2 exons.